RNAcentral lists this long non-coding RNA (236 nucleotides) under Ananas comosus (pineapple). RNAcentral describes it as "long non-coding RNA (ACOM_LNC010802)". Lineage: Eukaryota; Viridiplantae; Streptophyta; Magnoliopsida; Poales; Bromeliaceae. The record is from RNAcentral.
UAGAGUCCAGCGGCUAUGCUAUCGAUACGCACCAAUUACUUGGUGCUAUCAAGUUUUCUGCCGUUAAAUUAACCCCUUCGAUUAUUUUACCCGUUAAAUUAUACUAUUCAACAACCAUCACUCAACCCUAGGGUACCCACAUCAUCCUAACCGCAUAUUUCUCAAUCCAGUGGCUAAAAAAUUAAUAGCACCAACAACUUGGUACUAUUGAUAGUAUUCCAGCCUAGUUAUAUAUA